AGUCGGGUGGGACGUGCGGGGAGCGUCGGGGACUAUCCACCGCCAUCCUUCGUCGCCGGGGCUUUCCCGCCGCUCGGCUCCGCUGCAUCGGCGUCCCGUGGGCAUCGCACCCGGCAGCGGCGCUUCGGUGCGCUCCGAAGGCUGCGAAGGGCGGCGCGGCCUUGCCCCCACCCUCCUCCUCGGGCUGGGCCCUGCCCCAGGGUGAGUGAGGGUCCCCUGAAGCGGAACUGAUCCGCUGUCCACGGACCCGCCCGGCCCUAUCGAAGCUGCGUCUGUCGGUGCUGUGGCAGCUGCAGUCAAAAAGGAGCCGAGAGCAAAGGGAUUUCCCUCGACGGUCGCCGCUCAGUUGGAGCCUUCAUAACUGUCCGGCAACAUUUCGGGAAAGUACACGGCCCACCAUGGGCUAGCGGGGGUACUGGCGCUAGAAGCAGCGGCUGCCGCAAAUCCCUGCCCCUGGCGUCCACAUUGAUGAACCGGGGGAAGGAGGGGUGUAUCCCUUCCUUCUGUCGUACUGUUUUAACUUACUUCUCUUGGAAUUUACUUAAAGCUCAAGACUUCUUCCCCAGCAGCAGCCUGGCAUAGAAGGUGAUCCCGGGGUAUGGGAUGGCAGGGUGAAAUGAGUCAGAGGUGUGUCCACAAGAGUCUGCAGGCCACUGCUGAUAUUCGGGGUAUGUUGUGAUGUCUUCCAGGGGUCCUGGAUCUUCCAGAGCUCACCUAUCUGAUGGAUAAACCCAGGUGUGUCCUGUGCUGAGAGGGGCCACUAGGAAGACAGGCUGCACCAGCCUCACUGGUUUGGGAAGGAAACUUGCGGUCAGGAGAAGGGAUAAAUGUUGGGGAUGUGACAGAGGUGCCAUGAGGGUUGGAGGGCUUGGAUUUCUUUGGUGUAUUUGAGCCAUGGAUUUACAGUGACCCAUUAGCUUCAGGUACUAAACUCUGGCUCUAUUUUUUCAGCAGUUACUCUUUGGAAGAAGGUGGGAACCUUUGAGCCCUGUCCUAAGGGCUUCAGCUUGCUUCCCGUAGGACCCGUGUUGUGGAAAAGCUGCAGUAUGGAGCCUGUCUAAGCAGAGGAUGAGCCAUCCCCGAGUGACUUGGUGUUGCAGUGCCAGACUCUUCUUUCCCAGCCUACUCCAGAAGUGGGGGCUCUGCAGAGCCAGAUCCUGCCUGCUUUCUGAGCCAUGAGCUCCACCAAGUGGGAUCAGCCUCUUCUGGGCUCCACUUGCUGCAGUGGAGGGAGACGGAACUGGUUUGGCUCCAGCUGUUGAACAAGCUCUGGUUCGGGUGCUCCACAUGGAAAAACAGUCUGUUCCAUGGAGUUUUUUCAGGAGGGGAUUUGGAUAUCAAAUACUUGGUUAGAGCAGGGAGCUAAUAAUACCAAGGUGGGUGGUGGGUUUGAUUGCUGUAUUGGUCAUUCACUUAAGAGCUGGAGUCAAUGGUCCCUGUGGGUUCCUUCCAACUUGGAAUAUUCUGUGUGUGAUAAGAGU
Cinclus cinclus is the source of this 1481-nucleotide long non-coding RNA. RefSeq lists it as uncharacterized. Lineage: Eukaryota; Metazoa; Chordata; Aves; Passeriformes; Cinclidae. The transcript has 4 exons. The record is from RefSeq and is a predicted model, not a curated record.